CCUACGGGUGACAGCAGUGAGGAAUAUUGGUCAAUGGAGGCAACUCUGAACCAGCCAAGUAGCGUGCAGGAUGACGGCCCUAUGGGUUGUAAACUGCUUUUAUGCGGGGAUAAACUGAGUCACGUGUGGCUUAUUGCAGGUACCGCAUGAAUAAGGACCGGCUAAUUCCGUGCCAGCAGCCGCGGUAAUACGGAAGGUCCGGGCGUUAUCCGGAUUUAUUGGGUUUAAAGGGAGCGCAGGCCGCCCCUUAAGCGUGUUGUGAAAUGCCGCGGCUCAACCGUGGCACUGCAGCGCGAACUGGGGGGCUUGAGUGCGCCGGAGGCAGGCGGAAUACGUGGUGUAGCGGGGAAAGGCGUAGAGAUCACGAAGAAGCCCGAUUGCGAAGGCAGGGUACCGUAGCGGGACUGACGCUGAGGCUCGAAGGUGCGGGUAUCGAACAGGAGUAGAUACCCGGGUAGUC
This 460-nucleotide ribosomal RNA is filed under the name uncultured bacterium. RNAcentral describes it as "partial 16S ribosomal RNA". It matches the Rfam family "Bacterial small subunit ribosomal RNA", at positions 338 to 795 of the family's 1533-position model. The record is from RNAcentral.